This 1850-nucleotide unclassified non-coding RNA is filed under the name Hevea brasiliensis (rubber tree). The record is from RNAcentral. Lineage: Eukaryota; Viridiplantae; Streptophyta; Magnoliopsida; Malpighiales; Euphorbiaceae.
CGCGAUUUCUUCAUAAUACGCAAGGCAACGCUUGUAAGGACACAUUCAUCGAUUAUUCUCAACAGCCGCCGCCGCUGCAGUCACCGGAAACCUAGCCCUAAACCAAUAAUUUUCCUUUUUCCGCUUUGAGAAACUUAAUUCACAAUGCUUGGUUCUCCAGGUCACUCACCACGCCACCUCUCAUCCCCAUCUUCAUCUGCGUCUCCAAAUCCCCAAAAUGCUAUCCAAGUCUCUAACUCAUCCUCAAUCAGAACACCUGUAAACCCUAAGAAGCGCCCUAUAGUUCUGGACGAGGACACCUAUGUUGCAGCGAUCGAGAAAAUCAUCGAACGCGACUUCUUCCCGGACAUCUCGAAACUCCGUGACCGGCUUGAUUGGCUUGAAGCGGUAAAAACUGGCGACCCUAUUCAAAUACGAGAUGCCCAGUUGAAGAUCAUCGAGCGCCGUGGCAAAAGAGUGAAGAGUUCCAACCCUGAUUGGAGUACUCAGACUAGAAAUAGCACACAAACCCCAGGUUCUAUACCUAAUUUCACUCCCUUUGAUGAAUUCGAUAACAAAACGCCUAGUGCUGCAAAUAGGGAAUUUUCUGCUAAUAGAGAGUCUAGUGAACAUGAAGGUGCCGUUGAUGAUUCACUGAGUUUAGACGAUUUCUUUAGGAGAUACACAAGUGAGGAUAAUGAUAGUUUUUCAAAAAUAUUGGAGAAAGUGAAUAGGAAAAGAAAGGAGAGAUAUGGGCACUUGUUAGAAGGUGAAAAACAGGAUGCUAAAUUGAUUGAGGAUUCGAAGAGGGAUAGGAUUACAGAUGGUUAUGGGACAUCUGAUCAACCUCCGAGCACAUUGGAGGGUUGGAAAUACACAGCCAGGAAUUUGUUGAUGUAUCACCCCUCAGACAGGGGUGAGGCUCCUUUGACUGAAGAGGAACGUUCUGUUAGAUUGAAGGGUUUAACAAAAGAACUAAAUAGGUCAAACACACGGUUUCAUGGUAAAAUGUUGGAUUCUAGACCAAAAGAUGAUGGAACUGUUGAAGUGCUUUAUACACCAGUUGUGGGGGCCACCCCUCUUCCUGCAUCGGACAGAGAUGGGGAUAAAGCAAAGAAGUAUGAUUUGGAGGAUUUGAGGAAGACACCAAACAGGUUUUACGUGGAAUCAGGGAAGAAGGCAGAAAAUGGAUAUAGUUUUGUUAGGACACCUUCACCAGCUCCGGGGGUUGAUGAAUCACCAUUUAUCACAUGGGGUGAGAUAGAAGGAACGCCAUUGAGGUUGGAACCUGAAGACACUCCAAUUGAUAUUGGUGGUAGCGGUGAUGGGUCGCAUUUUAAAAUUCCAAAUCCACCUGCACGAGAUGUGAAGGCACAUUCAUUGUCGAGGGAGGCUGCCCGAAAGUUGAGGGAGAGAUCAAAGAUGUUUCAAAAACCACCAUUACCUUCUCCAGGAAGAGGGGGAAGUGCAAGUCCAAUUGUGCGUACACUUUCUCCUGCUGCACAGAAGUUUAUGAGGAGUGCAAUUUCUAAGUCUUCAUCUUCUGUUGAUGAAUCCCUUCGUGCUAGUUACAGAGGAGCAAGCCCUGGGGUUGGUACUCCAAAGAGUAGGAGCGUAUCGAGGCUUGGAAGAGAUGGAAGCAUGAGUUCCAGGUCACCAUCUGUCAGAGAGGAUUCUAAUCCUCCUUGGUAAAAAUGUAUUUUUCAUGCAUGUGGAGUUUCACAUUGGCAAGUAGUGGUUUUGUAAUAGUAUAAUUAAUAAUCAACUAAGCUUUUUGUUUCAAGGAUUCAUGUAUAAUUUAGCUGUGAUCCUUGUCCACUGUUUUAUAUGGUUACUAAUAUUUCAAAUGAGUACCCAAGUAAUGGUUAUAA